GCACUGACCUGAUAAUGUGGAAAAUUCUCUCUCCAAUAGACGAGAGAUCCUGACCGGAGCAAACGUCCGCUAGUGUAAGAAGGUUAUUCCGAUCGUUAAACUUCGUUGUUAGGAGGAAACCAGUACCGUUCGGAAUAUGUCGGUCACCUUGACGGUACUAAUCAAGAAAGGCCACUGGCUGAACUACCGUGCAGCAGCUGCGGUAAUACGUAGUGGUCAGCAGUGUACCGGAAUUAUUGGCGUAAAAGGGCGCGCAGGCGGUAUUCUUUAAGUCUGAUGUGUAAGCCCCCGCUUCACCCGGGAAGGGUCAUUUGAAACUGUGGAACUGAGUGCAGAAGAGGAGAGUGGAAUACCACGUGUAGCGGUGAAAUGCGUAGAGAUGUGGAGGAGCACCAGUGGCGAAGGCGACUCUCUGGUCUGUAACUACGCUGAGGCGCGAAAGCGUGGGGAGCGACCAGGAUUAGAUACCCUGGUAGUCACGCCGUAAACGAUGAGUGCUAAGUGUUAGAGGGUUUCCGCCCCUUUAGUGCUGCAGCAAACGCAUUUAAGCACUCCCGCCUGGGGAGUACGGUCGCAAGACUGAAACUCAAAGGAAUUGACGGGGGCCCGCACAAGCGGUGAGCAUGUGGUUUAAUUCGAAGCAACGCGAAGAACCUUACCAGGUCUUGACAUCCUCUGACAACCCUAGAGAUAGGGCUUCCCCUUCGGGGGCAGAGUGACAGGUGGUGCAUGGUUGUCGUCAGCUCGUGUCGUGAGAUGUUGGGUUAAGUCCCGCAACGAGCGCAACCCUUGAUCUUAGUUGCCAGCAUUCAGUUGGGCACUCUAAGGUGACUGCCGGUGACAAACCGGAGGAAGGUGGGGAUGACGUCAAAUCAUCAUGCCCCUUAUGACCUGGGCUACACACGUGCUACAAUGGGCAGAACAAAGGGCAGCGAAGCCGCGAGGCUAAGCCAAUCCCACAAAUCUGUUCUCAGUUCGGAUCGCAGUCUGCAACUCGACUGCGUGAAGCUGGAAUCGCUAGUAAUCGCGGAUCAGCAUGCCGCGGUGAAUUUGUUUUCGGGCCUUGUACACACCACCCGUCACAACGCGAGACUGUAGAGUUUGGAAUGGUCAGGAAGUCGUAACAACCUAACCACCGAGACUUAAAACC
RNAcentral lists this ribosomal RNA (1150 nucleotides) under Bacillus licheniformis. Its description in RNAcentral is "bacterial SSU rRNA". It matches the Rfam family "Bacterial small subunit ribosomal RNA", at positions 324 to 1471 of the family's 1533-position model. The record is from RNAcentral. Lineage: Bacteria; Bacillati; Bacillota; Bacilli; Caryophanales; Bacillaceae.